RNAcentral lists this non-coding RNA (246 nucleotides) under Virgibacillus sp. Its description in RNAcentral is "T-box sequence". It matches the Rfam family "T-box leader". Rfam says of the family: Uncharged tRNA acts as the effector for transcription antitermination of genes in the T-box leader family. T-boxes are found upstream of many aminoacyl-tRNA synthetase genes and some amino acid biosynthetic genes usually in Gram-positive bacteria. The anticodon of a specific tRNA base pairs to a specifier sequence within the T-box motif, and the NCCA acceptor tail of the tRNA base pairs to a conserved bulge in the T-box antiterminator hairpin. The record is from RNAcentral. Lineage: Bacteria; Bacillati; Bacillota; Bacilli; Caryophanales; Bacillaceae.
AUUAAAGCAAUGACGAAGAAGAGUAAUCUAUUUAAACACUCUAGAGAGCUGAUGGUUGGUGGAAAUCAGUGUGGUUUGGUAGAUGAAUGGGCUUCUGAGCUUCCAAACCGAACAUAUGAAACAGUAGGCUUUGGCGACUAAGUUCCACCGUUACCCGGAACAGAUAGGAAACAAUUUGUUUUCUGUUGCUAAAGUGAACUGUAUUUGCAGUUAAUAAAGGUGGUACCACGGUCCCUCGUCCUUUUU